This 478-nucleotide ribosomal RNA is filed under the name uncultured bacterium. RNAcentral's name for it is "partial 16S ribosomal RNA". It matches the Rfam family "Bacterial small subunit ribosomal RNA", at positions 28 to 523 of the family's 1533-position model. The record is from RNAcentral.
GACGAACGCUGGCGGCGUGCUUAACACAUGCAAGUCGAACGGUAAGGCCCUUCGGGGUACACGAGUGGCGAACGGGUGAGUAACACGUGGGUGAUCUGCCCUGCACUUCGGGAUAAGCCUGGGAAACUGGGUCUAAUACCGGAUAGGACCACUGCCUGCAUGGGUGGUGGUGGAAAGCUUUUGCGGGGUGGGAUGGGCCCGCGGCCUAUCAGCUUGUUGGUGGGGUGAUGGCCCACCAAGGCGACGACGGGUAGCCGGCCUGAGAGGGUGACCGGCCAGACUGGGACUGAGAUACGGCCCAGACUCCUACGGGAGGCAGCAGUGUGGAAUAUUGCACGAUGGGCGCAAGCCUGAUGCAGCGACGCCGCGUGAGGGAUGACGGCCUUCGGGUUGUAAACCUCUUUCAGCACCGACGAAGCGCAAGUGACGGUAGGUGCAGAAGAAGGACCGGCCAACUACGUGCCAGCCGCCGCCGUAA